GAGGGUAUAGCUCAGCGCUAGAGCAUAUGACUAGCAUGCAAGAGGUCCUGGGUUCAAUCCCCUGUACCUCCA
RNAcentral lists this transfer RNA (72 nucleotides) under Camelus bactrianus (Bactrian camel). It matches the Rfam family "tRNA". Rfam says of the family: Transfer RNA (tRNA) molecules are approximately 80 nucleotides in length. Their secondary structure includes four short double-helical elements and three loops (D, anti-codon, and T loops). RNAcentral also lists the same sequence under 1 other name. Lineage: Eukaryota; Metazoa; Chordata; Mammalia; Artiodactyla; Camelidae. The record is from Rfam by way of RNAcentral.